AUACGUAGGUGACAAGCGUUAUCCGGAUUUACUGGGCGUAAAGGGCGUGUAGGCGGUCUUGCAAGUCAGAAGUGAAAUUCCUGAGCUCAACUCGGGCGCUGCUUCUGAAACUGCAGGACUUGAGUGCUGGAGGGGAUAGCGGAAUUCCUAGUGGAGCGGUAAAAUGCGCAGAUAUUAGGAAGAACACCGGUGGCGAAGGCGGUUAUCUGGACAGUACCUGAGGCUGGGGCGCGAAAGCGUGUGGAGCAAACAGGAUUAGAUACCCUGGUUGGCCACGCCGUAAACGAUGAAUACUAGGUGUAGGGGGUAUCGACUCCCUCUGUGCCGCAGUUAACACAAUAAGUAUUCCGCCUGGGGAGUACGGCCGCAAGGUUGAAACUCAAAGGAAUUGACGGGG
RNAcentral lists this ribosomal RNA (397 nucleotides) under uncultured bacterium. RNAcentral describes it as "partial 16S ribosomal RNA". It matches the Rfam family "Bacterial small subunit ribosomal RNA", at positions 523 to 918 of the family's 1533-position model. The record is from RNAcentral.